UACGUAGGGGGGCAAGCGUUGUCCGGAUUUAUUGGGCGUAAAGAGCGUGUAGGCGGUUUGGUAGUCCGUUGUGAAAACUCGAGGCUCAACCUCGAGACGCCGAUGGAAACCAUCAGACUAGAGUCCGGAAGAGGAGAGUGGAAUUCCUGGUGUAGCGGUGAAAAUGCGUAGAUAUCAGGAGGAACACCAAUGGCGAAGGCAGCUCGCUGGGACGGUACUGACGCUGAGGCGCGAAAGCGUGGGGAGCAAACAGG
This 254-nucleotide ribosomal RNA is filed under the name uncultured bacterium. RNAcentral describes it as "partial 16S ribosomal RNA". It matches the Rfam family "Bacterial small subunit ribosomal RNA", at positions 524 to 776 of the family's 1533-position model. The record is from RNAcentral.